RNA transcript from Rhododendron vialii, 2713 nucleotides. It is a transcript of the gene named 4-hydroxybenzoate polyprenyltransferase, mitochondrial, with no coding region annotated. Lineage: Eukaryota; Viridiplantae; Streptophyta; Magnoliopsida; Ericales; Ericaceae. The record is from RefSeq and is a predicted model, not a curated record. The transcript is spliced from 10 exons.
AACAAAAUCUAACCAAACAGAGAGCCCUAAAGCUGUUGGAGAUUUCCGGCAUAUUGGCGAGUAAAAGCUCCCAGACCCAGACACCACAGCCUCGCCAGUUACUCCGCCGCCAAAACCACUCGCCUGCUGCGGCGAGAUUUUAGAAUCUCGCUUGCCCCUCCCCCCCUCCCUCUCUCUCUCUCUCUCUCUCUCUCUCUCUCGCCCUCGAGGCAGACCCAGACGUGGAUCUGGUGAAAUCGACGGCGACGGAUUUCGGAAUCAAAACCUACGCUACAGUGCCUUGCCCUUCGUCAUCCGUCGUCGGCCGCCAUUGCCCGUGGAUCGGAUUUCGACUCCUCUCUCUUUGCUUCCACUCUCCGGCGAGUUUUCCGUGAAAGAAAAGAAUGGCAGUGUUUCAACGGCUCUCUCGAUCGCGUUUACUUUGUACCCUACACCACCACCAUCACCCGCUCUCUAAUCGUUUCUCUCACUCCAUCUUCCCUCUGCUUUCCCCUUCCUCACCCACUCCCACAACCCCUAACCCUAACCCUAGCACUGAUUCCCGCAUUCACCUCCCCAUCUCCCAAUAUGAAAAUUUCACCUCCAAAUUCAGAUUCAAUUCCAGCGUAUUAUUACUACAGAACGCAUGCAUCUCCACGUCGUCCGGCAUAGCUGAAAAGGAAGGUGGUGCUCCGAAGACCAACGGUGGCGAUGCCGGUGGUUCGAAGAAGACAGGGGAGGUGUCUUGGGUGGAUUUGUACUUGCCGGAGAAAGCCCGGCCAUAUGCCCACCUUGCUCGCUUGGAUAAGCCUAUUGGGACGUGGUUGCUUGCUUGGCCUUGCUUCUGGUCAAUUACAUUGGCAGCAUUUCCUGGUAACCUUCCUGAUAUUAAAAUGCUGACGCUAUUUGGCUGUGGGGCUUUGCUUUUAAGAGGUGCCGGGUGUACUGUUAAUGAUCUCCUUGACCGGGAUAUUGAUACCAAGGUAGAACGUACAAAAUUGAGACCAAUUGCAAGUGGAGCUUUGACACCGUUUCAAGGCAUUUGUUUUCUUGGAUUUCAAUUGCUUUUGGGCCUUGGCAUUCUCCUCCAACUGAACAAUUAUAGCCGUGUUUUGGGGGCUUCUUCCUUGCUGCUAGUCUUCUCUUAUCCCCUCAUGAAGAGGCUGACAUUUUGGCCACAAGCCUAUUUAGGUUUGACCUUCAACUGGGGAGCAUUAUUAGGAUGGUCUGCAGUUAGGGGAAGUCUUGAUCCUGCUGUUGUCUUCCCACUUUACAUUUCUGGGGUGUUCUGGACACUUGUGUAUGACACAAUAUAUGCACAUCAGGAUAAAGAAGAUGAUAUGAAAGUGGGUGUUAAAUCUACUGCCUUGCGGUUUGGGGAUUCUACUAAGGAGUGGGUUACAGGAUUUGGUAUAGCAUGCAUCAGUAGUCUUGCCCUUAGUGGAUUCUAUGCUAACAUUGGAUGGCCAUUUUACGCAUCUUUGGCAGCUGCCUCUGGUCAACUAGCAUGGCAGAUUUUUAUGGUUGAUCUUUCUUGCCGGGCUGACUGCAAUAGGAAGUGGGUAUUACAGUUUCCGCUCAACUUUUGCCUAUGGGCCAAUAUGAAAUUAUAUUGUUUUAGGCUAGUAUGGAUAUUGAAUUUUGACCGUUUGCGACACUUUGAUGAAAACAAGCUAUGAUUGACCUAGUAUUUCUUGCGAAUGAACUAUAAGUGUAUAAUUAAUUUGGUUUCUUAUGUCAUAAUUGAACUGCAGUCAUUUCUGAUUUAAUGAUAAUUAAUGACGAGUUUUGUAAAAUGAUUCCUUUUGUGCAACGUCAUUAUAAGUGGUGUUGGAGGGGUUCUUUCCUUCCCGAAUUCAAUCCAAUCACUAUUCUAAUGCUUGAGAUCAUAGCUUUCAGAAUGUUGGACAGAAUAUCUAUCUUUACCCAAUUAUAUGUUCUAAUUGUUCUCCUGGCUUCAGCGAUAGAAGCUUUCCGCAUUCCCAUCUCGCAGUCUCACCCUGGCCCACCUUCCUCCCUUGAAACCCCAAGUUUAUCUCAGUACAUCUGUUUCACUAUCUUAACUGUAUUUGUCUCCAACAAGUGGUUUGGUGCUCUUAUUUUCAGCGGUAUCUUAUUUGGAAGACUUGUAUCCUAAAGGGUUAAGGGGACUGUUGUUUAAUCAGGCAUUGGAUGGCUUUCCGAAACACCUCUGGAACCGCAGGAGACAAAUUUCAUUGCUGCCUGCAAAUAGUAGGUCACAAAAAUGUAUCUUAAACUGAUUCUAGAAGGCAUAAAAGACGGUUGCUGCUACUUUUUUAUUAGAUUUUGGAAGCUGCUUUCAGGCUGUCAGAAGUUGAUGAAUAAUGCACAUUUCUGAGGUUUGUCUGCUCUCAGUAGUUAAAGUGAGCUACAAGUUUUUGCAGAGGCUGCCGUUAUGUUUUCGCGACCAGAUUUGUGUCAAUGCAAGUGUGGUUAGGUUGGAGUCGCUGUUGUAAUACUCCCAUCAUUUUGUAGCUGAAUAUAUCGGCAAGGAAAUACAAAUGAUAAUCUUUCUUCAUUUUUUGCUUCUGGUUUUCUGGGCAGUUAGUACUGGAAGUUGGGGAAAUGCAUUUGGUGCCUUAACUCCAAGCGUUCUCCUCAGGUCUUCUUGUACAACGAAGUAGUUGAAUGUCUGCUUUUUGGAUUUCUGAAUCCUCCCUUUUGAUGGAGCCCUUUCUUUUUGGUUUCUAGAUAUUGGAAAGUUGUUUGUGAA